Molecule: ribosomal RNA, 253 nt
Filed under: uncultured bacterium
Lineage: Bacteria
Description: partial 16S ribosomal RNA
Rfam family: Bacterial small subunit ribosomal RNA
Source: RNAcentral
UACGUAGGUGGCAAGCGUUGUCCGGAAUCAUUGGGCGUAAAGAGCGUGUAGGCGGUUCGGUAAGUCGGCUGUGAAAGUCGGGGGCUCAACCCUCGAAUGCCGGUGGAUACUGUCGGGCUAGAGUGCGGAAGAGGCGAGUGGAAUUCCUGGUGUAGCGGUGAAAUGCGCAGAUAUCAGGAGGAACACCAAUUGCGAAGGCAGCUCGCUGGGACGUAACUGACGCUGAGACGCGAAAGCGUGGGGAGCAAACAGG